RNAcentral lists this transfer RNA (71 nucleotides) under Loxodonta africana (African savanna elephant). It matches the Rfam family "tRNA". Rfam says of the family: Transfer RNA (tRNA) molecules are approximately 80 nucleotides in length. Their secondary structure includes four short double-helical elements and three loops (D, anti-codon, and T loops). The record is from Rfam by way of RNAcentral. Lineage: Eukaryota; Metazoa; Chordata; Mammalia; Proboscidea; Elephantidae.
ACAUUGGUGGUUCAGUGGUAGAAUUCUUACCUUCCAAGCAGGAGAUCUGAAUUCAAGUUUCGGCCAAUGUA